AUUAUGAGGUUCUGCAGCAGCUGAGGUGUGUAUUAGGAGGUUCUGUAGCAACUGAGGUGUGUAUUAUGAGGUUCUGCAGCAGCUGAGGUGUGUAUUAGGAGGUUCUGCAGCAGCUGAGGUGUGUAUUAGGAGGUUCUGCAGCAGCUGAGGUGUG
This is a long non-coding RNA of Bufo bufo (common toad), 154 nucleotides long. RefSeq lists it as uncharacterized. The transcript has 3 exons. Lineage: Eukaryota; Metazoa; Chordata; Amphibia; Anura; Bufonidae. The record is from RefSeq and is a predicted model, not a curated record.